RNAcentral lists this ribosomal RNA (381 nucleotides) under Streptomyces sp. 3BD3. RNAcentral describes it as "bacterial SSU rRNA". It matches the Rfam family "Bacterial small subunit ribosomal RNA", at positions 67 to 454 of the family's 1533-position model. The record is from RNAcentral. Lineage: Bacteria; Bacillati; Actinomycetota; Actinomycetes; Kitasatosporales; Streptomycetaceae.
CGAUGAAGCCUUUCGGGGUGGAUUAGUGGCGAACGGGUGAGUAACACGUGGGCAAUCUGCCCUUCACUCUGGGACAAGCCCUGGAAACGGGGUCUAAUACCGGAUAACACUCUGUCCCGCAUGGGACGGGGUUAAAAGCUCCGGCGGUGAAGGAUGAGCCCGCGGCCUAUCAGCUUGUUGGUGGGGUAAUGGCUCACCAAGGCGACGACGGGUAGCCGGCCUGAGAGGGCGACCGGCCACACUGGGACUGAGACACGGCCCAGACUCCUACGGGAGGCAGCAGUGGGGAAUAUUGCACAAUGGGCGAAAGCCUGAUGCAGCGACGCCGCGUGAGGGAUGACGGCCUUCGGGUUGUAAACCUCUUCAGCAGGAAGAAGCAAA